UACGGGGGGGGCAAGCGUUGUUCGGAAUUACUGGGCGUAAAGGGCUCGUAGGCGGCCAACUAAGUCAGACGUGAAAUCCCUCGGCUUAACCGGGGAACUGCGUCUGAUACUGGAUGGCUUGAGUUCGGGAGAGGGAUGCGGAAUUCCAGGUGUAGCGGUGAAAUGCGUAGAUAUCUGGAGGAACACCGGUGGCGAAGGCGGCAUCCUGGACCGAUACUGACGCUGAGGCACGAAAGCGUGGGGAGCAAACAGG
Molecule: ribosomal RNA, 253 nt
Filed under: uncultured bacterium
Lineage: Bacteria
Description: partial 16S ribosomal RNA
Rfam family: Bacterial small subunit ribosomal RNA
Source: RNAcentral